UUUAUAUAGUUUUAAAUUUAUGCAUAGGUUGAUUUGAGUGAAGGGUUAAUUUGAACUUAUUUUUUGUUUUAAAAUUGUGGGUGAAAAUAUGUGCAGAAAGUAUUUAUGUAAUUGGAUGGGUGAGUGGUAUUUAUUAAAUUAAAGAAAGCUAAGAAGAAGGAAAAGAGGAAAAGUAGAGGAGAGUUAGAAAGAAAAGAUUCUUAAUUAAAAAAUGAAAAAGGGAAAGUUUGUGUGCAUCAAAUUCCCUGUCCCUCUUCUCCUUCAAGCUUUCAUUGCCAUUUUUCUUCUUUCUUUAUUCUUCUGUUACAAAAAAUUACCUCAAAAAGAAGGCUAAGUGUCUCUAAUAUUCCUAUCAAUAUCCCUUUUGUCUGCUCCUUCAACACUAACACACAACUCACCCACAAUAUUAUUAAAGGUUUAGAAGCUCUAAAUAAACUUCAAAAUGACAUUUUUUUUCAGAUAAUUUUUGUUCGUUUGAU
RNAcentral lists this long non-coding RNA (479 nucleotides) under Vigna radiata. Its description in RNAcentral is "long non-coding RNA (VRAD_LNC002249)". Lineage: Eukaryota; Viridiplantae; Streptophyta; Magnoliopsida; Fabales; Fabaceae. The record is from RNAcentral.